This 480-nucleotide ribosomal RNA is filed under the name uncultured bacterium. Its description in RNAcentral is "bacterial SSU rRNA". It matches the Rfam family "Bacterial small subunit ribosomal RNA", at positions 30 to 506 of the family's 1533-position model. The record is from RNAcentral.
UUGAACGCUGGCGGCAUGCCUUACACAUGCAAGUCGAACGGUAACAGGUCUUCGGAUGCUGACGAGUGGCGAACGGGUGAGUAAUGCAUCGGAACGUACCCAGUCGUGGGGGAUAACUACGCGAAAGCGUAGCUAAUACCGCAUACGCCCUGAGGGGGAAAGCGGGGGACCUUCGGGCCUCGCGCGAUUGGAGCGGCUGAUGUCGGAUUAGCUGGUUGGUGGGGUAAAGGCCUACCAAGGCGACGAUCUGUAGCUGGUCUGAGAGGACGACCAGCCACACUGGGACUGAGACACGGCCCAGACUCCUACGGGAGGCAGCAGUGGGGAAUUUUGGACAAUGGGCGCAAGCCUGAUCCAGCAAUGCCGCGUGCAGGAAGAAGGCCUUCGGGUUGUAAACUGCUUUUGUACGGAGCGAAAAGGCUCUCUCUAAUACAGGGGGCUCAUGACGGUACCGUAAGAAUAAGCACCGGCUAACUACGU